Molecule: non-coding RNA, 30 nt
Filed under: Mus musculus (house mouse)
Lineage: Eukaryota; Metazoa; Chordata; Mammalia; Rodentia; Muridae
Source: RNAcentral
CCACUAACCACCAUCAACUGUCAAUAAGUC